This 1520-nucleotide ribosomal RNA is filed under the name Klebsiella pneumoniae. Its description in RNAcentral is "bacterial SSU rRNA". It matches the Rfam family "Bacterial small subunit ribosomal RNA". The record is from RNAcentral. Lineage: Bacteria; Pseudomonadati; Pseudomonadota; Gammaproteobacteria; Enterobacterales; Enterobacteriaceae.
AGAGUUUGAUCAUGGCUCAGAUUGAACGCUGGCGGCAGGCCUAACACAUGCAAGUCGAGCGGUAGCACAGAGAGCUUGCUCUCGGGUGACGAGCGGCGGACGGGUGAGUAAUGUCUGGGAAACUGCCUGAUGGAGGGGGAUAACUACUGGAAACGGUAGCUAAUACCGCAUAACGUCGCAAGACCAAAGUGGGGGACCUUCGGGCCUCAUGCCAUCAGAUGUGCCCAGAUGGGAUUAGCUAGUAGGUGGGGUAACGGCUCACCUAGGCGACGAUCCCUAGCUGGUCUGAGAGGAUGACCAGCCACACUGGAACUGAGACACGGUCCAGACUCCUACGGGAGGCAGCAGUGGGGAAUAUUGCACAAUGGGCGCAAGCCUGAUGCAGCCAUGCCGCGUGUGUGAAGAAGGCCUUCGGGUUGUAAAGCACUUUCAGCGGGGAGGAAGGCGUUAAGGUUAAUAACCUUAGCGAUUGACGUUACCCGCAGAAGAAGCACCGGCUAACUCCGUGCCAGCAGCCGCGGUAAUACGGAGGGUGCAAGCGUUAAUCGGAAUUACUGGGCGUAAAGCGCACGCAGGCGGUCUGUCAAGUCGGAUGUGAAAUCCCCGGGCUCAACCUGGGAACUGCAUUCGAAACUGGCAGGCUAGAGUCUUGUAGAGGGGGGUAGAAUUCCAGGUGUAGCGGUGAAAUGCGUAGAGAUCUGGAGGAAUACCGGUGGCGAAGGCGGCCCCCUGGACAAAGACUGACGCUCAGGUGCGAAAGCGUGGGGAGCAAACAGGAUUAGAUACCCUGGUAGUCCACGCCGUAAACGAUGUCGAUUUGGAGGUUGUGCCCUUGAGGCGUGGCUUCCGGAGCUAACGCGUUAAAUCGACCGCCUGGGGAGUACGGCCGCAAGGUUAAAACUCAAAUGAAUUGACGGGGGCCCGCACAAGCGGUGGAGCAUGUGGUUUAAUUCGAUGCAACGCGAAGAACCUUACCUGGUCUUGACAUCCACAGAACUUUCCAGAGAUGGAUUGGUGCCUUCGGGAACUGUGAGACAGGUGCUGCAUGGCUGUCGUCAGCUCGUGUUGUGAAAUGUUGGGUUAAGUCCCGCAACGAGCGCAACCCUUAUCCUUUGUUGCCAGCGGUCCGGCCGGGAACUCAAAGGAGACUGCCAGUGAUAAACUGGAGGAAGGUGGGGAUGACGUCAAGUCAUCAUGGCCCUUACGACCAGGGCUACACACGUGCUACAAUGGCAUAUACAAAGAGAAGCGACCUCGCGAGAGCAAGCGGACCUCAUAAAGUAUGUCGUAGUCCGGAUUGGAGUCUGCAACUCGACUCCAUGAAGUCGGAAUCGCUAGUAAUCGUAGAUCAGAAUGCUACGGUGAAUACGUUCCCGGGCCUUGUACACACCGCCCGUCACACCAUGGGAGUGGGUUGCAAAAGAAGUAGGUAGCUUAACCUUCGGGAGGGCGCUUACCACUUUGUGAUUCAUGACUGGGGUGAAGUCGUAACAAGGUAACCGUAGGGGAACCUGCGGUUG